This 2903-nucleotide ribosomal RNA is filed under the name Escherichia coli. RNAcentral's name for it is "23S ribosomal RNA". It matches the Rfam family "Bacterial large subunit ribosomal RNA". The record is from RNAcentral. Lineage: Bacteria; Pseudomonadati; Pseudomonadota; Gammaproteobacteria; Enterobacterales; Enterobacteriaceae.
GGUUAAGCGACUAAGCGUACACGGUGGAUGCCCUGGCAGUCAGAGGCGAUGAAGGACGUGCUAAUCUGCGAUAAGCGUCGGUAAGGUGAUAUGAACCGUUAUAACCGGCGAUUUCCGAAUGGGGAAACCCAGUGUGAUUCGUCACACUAUCAUUAACUGAAUCCAUAGGUUAAUGAGGCGAACCGGGGGAACUGAAACAUCUAAGUACCCCGAGGAAAAGAAAUCAACCGAGAUUCCCCCAGUAGCGGCGAGCGAACGGGGAGCAGCCCAGAGCCUGAAUCAGUGUGUGUGUUAGUGGAAGCGUCUGGAAAGGCGCGCGAUACAGGGUGACAGCCCCGUACACAAAAAUGCACAUGCUGUGAGCUCGAUGAGUAGGGCGGGACACGUGGUAUCCUGUCUGAAUAUGGGGGGACCAUCCUCCAAGGCUAAAUACUCCUGACUGACCGAUAGUGAACCAGUACCGUGAGGGAAAGGCGAAAAGAACCCCGGCGAGGGGAGUGAAAAAGAACCUGAAACCGUGUACGUACAAGCAGUGGGAGCCUCUUAAUGGGGUGACUGCGUACCUUUUGUAUAAUGGGUCAGCGACUUAUAUUCUGUAGCAAGGUUAACCGAAUAGGGGAGCCGAAGGGAAACCGAGUCUUAACUGGGCGUUAAGUUGCAGGGUAUAGACCCGAAACCCGGUGAUCUAGCCAUGGGCAGGUUGAAGGUUGGGUAACACUAACUGGAGGACCGAACCGACUAAUGUUGAAAAAUUAGCGGAUGACUUGUGGCUGGGGGUGAAAGGCCAAUCAAACCGGGAGAUAGCUGGUUCUCCCCGAAAGCUAUUUAGGUAGCGCCUCGUGAAUUCAUCUCCGGGGGUAGAGCACUGUUUCGGCAAGGGGGUCAUCCCGACUUACCAACCCGAUGCAAACUGCGAAUACCGGAGAAUGUUAUCACGGGAGACACACGGCGGGUGCUAACGUCCGUCGUGAAGAGGGAAACAACCCAGACCGCCAGCUAAGGUCCCAAAGUCAUGGUUAAGUGGGAAACGAUGUGGGAAGGCCCAGACAGCCAGGAUGUUGGCUUAGAAGCAGCCAUCAUUUAAAGAAAGCGUAAUAGCUCACUGGUCGAGUCGGCCUGCGCGGAAGAUGUAACGGGGCUAAACCAUGCACCGAAGCUGCGGCAGCGACGCUUAUGCGUUGUUGGGUAGGGGAGCGUUCUGUAAGCCUGCGAAGGUGUACUGUGAGGUAUGCUGGAGGUAUCAGAAGUGCGAAUGCUGACAUAAGUAACGAUAAAGCGGGUGAAAAGCCCGCUCGCCGGAAGACCAAGGGUUCCUGUCCAACGUUAAUCGGGGCAGGGUGAGUCGACCCCUAAGGCGAGGCCGAAAGGCGUAGUCGAUGGGAAACAGGUUAAUAUUCCUGUACUUGGUGUUACUGCGAAGGGGGGACGGAGAAGGCUAUGUUGGCCGGGCGACGGUUGUCCCGGUUUAAGCGUGUAGGCUGGUUUUCCAGGCAAAUCCGGAAAAUCAAGGCUGAGGCGUGAUGACGAGGCACUACGGUGCUGAAGCAACAAAUGCCCUGCUUCCAGGAAAAGCCUCUAAGCAUCAGGUAACAUCAAAUCGUACCCCAAACCGACACAGGUGGUCAGGUAGAGAAUACCAAGGCGCUUGAGAGAACUCGGGUGAAGGAACUAGGCAAAAUGGUGCCGUAACUUCGGGAGAAGGCACGCUGAUACGUAGGUGAAGUCCCUUGCGGAUGGAGCUGAAAUCAGUCGAAGAUACCAGCUGGCUGCAACUGUUUAUUAAAAACACAGCACUGUGCAAACACGAAAGUGGACGUAUACGGUGUGACGCCUGCCCGGUGCCGGAAGGUUAAUUGAUGGGGUUAGCGCAAGCGAAGCUCUUGAUCGAAGCCCCGGUAAACGGCGGCCGUAACUAUAACGGUCCUAAGGUAGCGAAAUUCCUUGUCGGGUAAGUUCCGACCUGCACGAAUGGCGUAAUGAUGGCCAGGCUGUCUCCACCCGAGACUCAGUGAAAUUGAACUCGCUGUGAAGAUGCAGUGUACCCGCGGCAAGACGGAAAGACCCCGUGAACCUUUACUAUAGCUUGACACUGAACAUUGAGCCUUGAUGUGUAGGAUAGGUGGGAGGCUUUGAAGUGUGGACGCCAGUCUGCAUGGAGCCGACCUUGAAAUACCACCCUUUAAUGUUUGAUGUUCUAACGUUGGCCCCUGAUCGGGGUUGCGGACAGUGUCUGGUGGGUAGUUUGACUGGGGCGGUCUCCUCCUAAAGAGUAACGGAGGAGCACGAAGGUUGGCUAAUCCUGGUCGGACAUCAGGAGGUUAGUGCAAUGGCAUAAGCCAGCUUGACUGCGAGCGUGACGGCGCGAGCAGGUGCGAAAGCAGGUCAUAGUGAUCCGGUGGUUCUGAAUGGAAGGGCCAUCGCUCAACGGAUAAAAGGUACUCCGGGGAUAACAGGCUGAUACCGCCCAAGAGUUCAUAUCGACGGCGGUGUUUGGCACCUCGAUGUCGGCUCAUCACAUCCUGGGGCUGAAGUAGGUCCCAAGGGUAUGGCUGUUCGCCAUUUAAAGUGGUACGCGAGCUGGGUUUAGAACGUCGUGAGACAGUUCGGUCCCUAUCUGCCGUGGGCGCUGGAGAACUGAGGGGGGCUGCUCCUAGUACGAGAGGACCGGAGUGGACGCAUCACUGGUGUUCGGGUUGUCAUGCCAAUGGCACUGCCCGGUAGCUAAAUGCGGAAGAGAUAAGUGCUGAAAGCAUCUAAGCACGAAACUUGCCCCGAGAUGAGUUCUCCCUGACUCCCUGAGAGUCCUGAAGGAACGUUGAAGACGACGACGUUGAUAGGCCGGGUGUGUAAGCGCAGCGAUGCGUUGAGCUAACCGGUACUAAUGAACCGUGAGGCUUAACCUU